This 326-nucleotide ribosomal RNA is filed under the name uncultured eukaryote. RNAcentral's name for it is "partial 18S ribosomal RNA". It matches the Rfam family "Eukaryotic small subunit ribosomal RNA", at positions 1470 to 1796 of the family's 1831-position model. The record is from RNAcentral.
CCCUUAGAUGUUCUGGGCCGCACGCGCGCUACACUGAAGGGAUCAGCGUGUUUUCCCUUUCCGAGAGGAACGGGUAACCCGCUGAACCCCCUUCGUGGUAGGGAUCGGAGCUUGCAAUUGUUCUCCGUGAACCAGGAAUUCCCAGUAAGCGCAAGUCAUAAGCUUGCGUUGAUUACGUCCCUGCCCUUUGUACACACCGCCCGUCGCUACUACCGAUUGGACGUUUUAGUGAGGUAUUUGGACUGGGCCUUGGGAGGUUUCGGCCUCCCUUGUUGCUCGGAAAGACUCCCAAACUUGAGCGUUUAGAGGAAGUAAAAGUCGUAACA